This 205-nucleotide unclassified non-coding RNA is filed under the name Hevea brasiliensis (rubber tree). The record is from RNAcentral. Lineage: Eukaryota; Viridiplantae; Streptophyta; Magnoliopsida; Malpighiales; Euphorbiaceae.
UUAACGAAGAAAACAAAAGAUGUAAUUUCUGAACAUAGAAAUAUAACGGAGAGGUAGCAAAUGGUCAAAACUAUCAUACAUUUGCUUUCUCCCUCAUUCCAAUUGUGUUAGAUUGAAUUGAGUACAAUAACAUUUAAACGAAUUACCAUAACAUUUAGACAAACAUAUUACAAGAUCAGCGCCAGCCUCUAAUGCCUUGUUGGAU